This 552-nucleotide ribosomal RNA is filed under the name Triticum aestivum (bread wheat). RNAcentral's name for it is "partial small subunit ribosomal RNA". The record is from RNAcentral. Lineage: Eukaryota; Viridiplantae; Streptophyta; Magnoliopsida; Poales; Poaceae.
AUGAGGACUCUGUCCCUGCUCGCCGUCCUCCUCGUCCUCCUCCUCGUCUCCCACCCGCGCAACGCCGCCGACGCCCACGGCCACCGGUUCGGCAAGGAGAAGCUCACCAACCUGCGCUUCUACCUGCACGACACCCUCAGCGACCGCGACCCGACGGCCGUCCCCGUGGCGCACGGCGCCGGCGCCACGCCCAGGCCCGGCGACCCCACGCCCUUCAGCACCGUCUACGUCGUCGACGACGUGCUCACGGAGGGGCCCCAGCGGACGUCCAGGGUCGUCGGCAGCGCGCAGGGCCUGUACGCGUCCACCGGCAGGCACGGGCUGGGGCUCGUCCUCGGCAUCGACUUCGCCCUCAACGACUACAACGGAAGCUCCUUCGUGGUCUUCUCGCGCAACCCCGUCACGGACGGCGACGGCAGGGAGCUCGCCGUCGUCGGCGGCCGCGGCGCCUUCCGGCUGGCCCGCGGCUUCGCGCUGCUCCGCACGCACUACCUCAACACCGGCAACGGCGACGCCAUCAUCGAGUACAACGUCACUCUCCUGCAUUACUGA